GACGAACGCUGGCGGCGUGCCUAAUACAUGCAAGUUGAGCGAUGAAGAUUGGUGCUUGCACCAAUUUGAAGAGCAGCGAGCGGGUGAGUAACGCGUGGGGAAUCUGCCUUUGAGCGGGGGACAGCAUUUGGAAACGAAUGCUAAUACCGCAUAACAACUUUAAACAUAAGUUUUAAGUUUGAAAGAUGCAAUUGCAUCACUCAAAGAUGAUCCCGCGUUGUAUUAGCUAGUUGGUGAGGUAAAGGCUCACCAAGGCGAUGAUACAUAGCCGACCUGAGAGGGUGAUCGGCCACAUUGGGACUGAGACACGGCCCAAACUCCUACGGGAGGCAGCAGUAGGGAAUCUUCGGCAAUCGACGAAAGUCUGACCGAGCAACGCCGCGUGAGUGAAGAAGGUUGUCGGAUCGUAAAACUCUGUUGGUAGAGAAGAACGUUGGUGAGAGUGGAAAGCUCAUCAAGUGACGGUAACUACCCAGAAAGGGACGGCUAACUACGUG
Molecule: ribosomal RNA, 497 nt
Filed under: uncultured bacterium
Lineage: Bacteria
Description: partial 16S ribosomal RNA
Rfam family: Bacterial small subunit ribosomal RNA
Source: RNAcentral